GUUAUUUGUCGGCCCCACUUUUCAUGCAGUUUUAGGUGGGGAAAAUCAAACUUCUUAGAGUGGUUUCCUUUUGAAAGUAAAAUGACCUGGUUUUUAAUUACCAGCUCUUUUAUUUACCUGUGCUGCAGAAGUGCUUGGGGGGUGGUUUGUUUUUCUUCUGAGGUCUUUGCUUUUCUCAAAGACUGGGGAGCAGCCUCAAGAAAUGACACUUGUAUUGCACAAAGCCUACUCACAGUAAAGAGGUUUGGGUGCCUAUGAACAUCUGGGGUGCCACACUUGCCCGUGGUUGUAACUGCAGCCUGCAGACAUUAUUCAUUCUCUGCUUCCUCCCUAAUCUCGGUGCAGAGACCAGGGCAGGGCAACCUGAGCUUAGUGUUCUAUGUUUUGAAGCCAGAGUUAGGGCUCCAGCUCUGUCCAGUGUGCACUCAUGUGGCACCAAGAAGAUCACAGAUCCCACUGGGGAGUUGCCAAGGCUCUCCCCUGGCCGCAUUGCCAGGAAGUCCUCCAGUCAUCAUUGUUACUAGUCUGCAGCAGGUUUAGCAAUGCUUGUGUUUUUGCCCUUUGUUUCCCCCAUGCCUCUAAAGACUUCAUUUUCUUAAAGUGUAAUUUUGCACCCUGGGCUGAAAGAAAUGAUCACUGUUUCUGAUUGCCUAAUUUGUUUUUGAGAGGCACAAAUCUAUCUAAAAGCAAUUUAAUAGUGGUAUUUAUUCUAACACUCUGAAGAAGUCUUAUCAUUGCUAAAUUGUUUAAAAUUCAAAAGCUUGUUCCAUCAGGCCACAGCAGUAUGAGUGAUUGUGGGGCUGACAGCAUGUUGAAUCUUUAUUGAUUGUCUCGAGUGUUGGUUUAAAGUGUACUCUUUAUUUUUGUUUUGUUUUGCUUUUCUGAUUGUAAAAGAAAUGCUUAUUCAUUGCCAAAUUUUUGGAAAAUAAUAAGAUAUACCGGGAAUAAAACCAAAAUUGCUUAUAAUUUCACUGCCCCAAAAUCCAUUAACAUAUAGGGUAUUUCUUUCCUAUAUUUCUCUUUGACAUAAGUACCUUCUAAUCCCAAAAUUAGGAUUAUAAUGUAUAUAUAGCUUUGUUCUUCUUUGUUUACUUAAUGCUAUAACAUGUUCUUUUCCUCGUGUCAUUAAAAGUCACAUUUUUGUAUAAAGUACUCAUUGCUUAGAUGGAUCAUGAUCCGGUAUAUUCUGUUGCAGUGGGAAGAGGAGAGGAACUUUGGUGCAUCCCUAUUGCUUCCAGGCCUAAAACAAAAGAACUCAGUGGGUUUCAGUUCCCAGUUGUAUGGCUAUGCACUUCUUGGUAAGCUAAAUGAUCCUUACAAAUACUGUUCUUCAUGGUUAGAAUUGUUGUAUUCUUCCAGUUCAUAAUAAAAUUGUAAUUUGAUUUAAAUUUACCAGUGAAAUCCAAUUAGCCUUCGUUUUUAGACAUAAAAAUAGACCUUGAUGGCCUUACAGUUACUCCAUAAGAGAGUAAAGAGGGUUCUUAAAACCUGCCAUCACUGGCAAAGCAAGAACUAGUUCUGGUGGAUAUAGGUAAUAAUAUUCAGUGGUAAUCAGUCUGAAGAAGGGAUAAAGAAAGGGAUGUUCUGGCCCUGUUUAGGGAGACUAGCUAGUAGAAUCUUUUCCAGUAUUAACAAAGAUCUUUCUGUCUCUUUAGAUCUAAAGUCCAGAAGGUAAGAAAUUAAGAGUUAGAGUUGAACUUGUAUCUUUGGUAUUGUUUUCAGGUAAGGGAAGAUAAACUAAGAGCAGAAGUAGUAGCACUUCAGGAAAAGCGGAGUGGUUCAUGGGUACCAUGUGAUUGUACCAGGAGGUGCAAUGGUGGCUUUCCUCUUGUGCCCUGAUUGCAUUGAAAAUCAGACAGGUUAAGAGGACAAAGCCUUCUGAAGAGUGGCCUUGGAACCUGGGUUGUGUGGAAUCUGGGCAAAUAAGAUUCAACCUAAAUGUAACGUUGUCCUGAUUUACAGAGGUUUAUUAAAGUUAUGUUAUUUCAUUACUCUCCCAUCGUCUCUUAAGUAGUUAGGCGUCUAUCAAUUAUACAUUGCUUCUGCUUACCUUUGUUUUUUAAAAAUCAUAAAGUUAUAGCAGUUUGACUGCUUUUGAAGUUGAUCUUUGCCAACAGAAUGUAGUGUGUUAUUCUUGGUGCUGACUCUGAUAUAAUAACUCAGAGGAACUUCAGAGUUUAUUGACUGUCUAUCAGACUAACAAAGGAGUUGACCACUCUUUUUAAAAAUCAUUUUUUCCUUAUUUGUCACCUACUUUUGAUGUUGAUUUACAUGUAUUUUCCUUUGCUUUCAGAUUAGCAUUCAGGACUGUCAUACAGCCUGAAUUGGUCAGAAGUGACAGGGCAAAGAAUAUGUACUUUGUUGUGGUUUGUGAGCAGAGGCCCUGGUUCUUUGUGAUAGCAGCCAUCAGAUCAGAAGCUCUUUGCUCUCAUUGUGUCAUUUGCCAUGCAGCCUCACUCAACCCUGAUGGAAGCAGCUGCCCAGAAUGUAACUACAGUCCAGCCCCAAGCACCUUAAAGGGAAGGUGGAGUUGCAGCAAGGGCUACGGGCUGUGUACCACAACAUGCCUCUGAUAUGGAAACCAGGCUACCUUGACAGAGCCCUUCAAGUGAUGGAGAAAGUGGCUGCCUCCCCAGAAGACAUAAAGCUGUGUAGAGAAGCGCUCGAUGUGCUGGAUGCAGUGCUGAAGGCUCUGACUUCGGCUGAUGGGGCUUCAGAGGAGCAGUCCCAAAAUGAUGAAGACGACCAGGGGUCAGAAAAACUGGUGGAGCAGUUAGACAUCGAGGAAACAGAGCAGUCCAAGCUUCCUCAAUACCUGGAACGAUUUAAGGCCUUACAUUCUAAGCUUCAGGCUCUGGGCAAAAUUGAGUCAGAAAGUCUUUUAAGUCUGACCACCCAGCUUGUCAAGGAAAAACUCUCCACCUGUGAAGCAGAGGACAUCGCCACCUAUGAGCAGAAUCUGCAGCAGUGGCAUCUAGACCGUGUACAGUUGAUCCAGAGAGAACAGCAACAGAGGGAGCAAGCGAAGCAGGAGUACCAGGCUCAGAAAGCAGCAAAGGCAUCUGCCUAAUAGGGUCCCCCAGGGCCCCACCUCUCUCACAAGAACUUCACUCAACCCCAUGCCAGGACUCAGCAGUGGCCUGGACAACAGCCUCAGCUUCCUCUACCCAUCUUCUUUUCUUAACGCAGGCUGUGUACCCUACAUGGCAAGGCACCAUGACUGCCCAUAGAGAUGCCAAGAAGGGCUGUGGAACUAUGCAGGUGGCUAGUGAUCAGACUGAAGUCACCAGCUGAAUACCUUAAGGAGGACUCUUGAGGCUCAUAAUGGAGUUCCUGGGGCACAGGGAUUAGUUAUGAGCAUUAAAGUUCUUAAGACCCAAUGACGGUACUGGGAGAAACGAAGGCUAAAGAGUCAGGUUGAAGCACAGGCCUUUGUUUUUUGUUGUUUUUGUUUUUUGAGACAGAGUCUCAUUCUGUCACCCAGGCUGCAGUGCAGUGGCGCGAUCUUGGCUCACUGCAACCUCCGACUCCCAGGUUCAAGCAAUUCUCCUGCUUCAGCCUCCUGAGUAGGUGGGAUUACAGGUGCAUACCACCACACCUGGCUAAUUUUUGUAUUUUUAGUAGAGAUGGGGUUUCACCAUGUUGGUCAGGCUGGUCUCAACCUCCUGACCUCAAGGGAUCUGCCCGCCUCAGCCUCCCAAAGUGCGGGGAUGAUAGGCGUGAGCCACCGCGCCCGGCCAAGCACAGGCUUUUGAUUGGUCUCCCUCUCCCCAACCCAGGUACAUGAGGCCAAGGUGAACUGUGCAUCCUGAGACCUUGUGUCCCUGAGUCUCCUCUCUGAGUGCAAGCUGCCCUGUGAGCUGGCUGUGGGAUACUCACACAUUCCCACAUUCUCCUUUCUGCCACAUCUCGCCCUUCUGGACCUGCACUGGGAGAAAUUCAGGACAGGAGUGAACUCAAGGCCAUGAACUCACUGGAUUUCCAUUUUUAGGCACCCGUAGGGACGUUUUUAGGAUGUAAGUUUUUGAGGGGAAAGCUAGCUCUAGCAUGAAGCCUCUUUGGAUUGGCUUCUCCAUCGUGUUGGGGUAACAUUUUUUUUUCCAAUUUUUUUUUUUUCCAAAACAUCGUCUCAGCUCAUUUAUCAAGUAGGUAAAAUGAGCCUUUUGUGUACACACAGAGGAACAUGUGCGUGCACACACAACUUGUGAACACACAUUUCUGUUAAAGAAGUUAGAAAAUGAGAGAUGGGUUGGGGCUUGAAGUGCAUCAGAGGUAUGAAUGUUGUAAAACUGUCAGGAGAUGUAAAAUUCCUUUCUGAAGUUUCUCUUCUGUGAAAGGGUUCAGGGCAGAUUUUGCUUACUAUGUAGUGUUGCCCUUAGGUACAGUAGUGUAAUUUUAUUCAAGAUUGUGCUCUUCUAUCAAAAGCCUCUGGAAAUAAAUGUUCUGGGAUC
RNAcentral lists this small RNA (4451 nucleotides) under Pongo abelii (Sumatran orangutan). RNAcentral's name for it is "retained intron". The record is from RNAcentral. Lineage: Eukaryota; Metazoa; Chordata; Mammalia; Primates; Hominidae.